CCUACGGGAGGCAGCAGUGGGGAAUAUUGGACAAUGGGCGAAAGCCUGAUCCAGCAAUGCCGCGUGAGUGAUGAAGGCCUUAGGGUUGUAAAGCUCUUUUACCAGGGAUGAUAAUGACAGUACCUGGAGAAUAAGCUCCGGCUAACUCCGUGCCAGCAGCCGCGGUAAUACGGAGGGAGCUAGCGUUGUUCGGAAUUACUGGGCGUAAAGCGUACGUAGGCGGUUAUUCAAGUCAGAGGUGAAAGCCUGGAGCUCAACUCCAGAACUGCCUUUGAAACUAGAUAGCUAGAAUCUUGGAGAGGUGAGUGGAAUUCCGAGUGUAGAGGUGAAAUUCGUAGAUAUUCGGAAGAACACCAGUGGCGAAGGCGACUCACUGGACAAGUAUUGACGCUGAGGUACGAAAGCGUGGGGAGCAAACAGGAUUAGAUACCCUGGUAGUCCACGCCGUAAACGAUGAUAACUAGCUGUUCGGGCUCUACGAGCUUGAGUGGCGCNGCUACGCAUAAGUUAUCCGCCGUCGGGAGGUACGGUCGCGAGAUAAACUACAANAGAGUAGAGCGNGAGAGUGCGACGACGACGACGAGGGAGGAGG
This 592-nucleotide ribosomal RNA is filed under the name uncultured bacterium. RNAcentral's name for it is "bacterial SSU rRNA". The stretch from base 1 to 516 matches the Rfam family "Bacterial small subunit ribosomal RNA", at positions 338 to 873 of the family's 1533-position model. The record is from RNAcentral.